GUGGGGAAUCUUAGACAAUGGGCGCAAGCCUGAUCUAGCCAUGCCGCGUGAGCGAUGAAGGCCUUAGGGUUGUAAAGCUCUUUCAGCUGGGAAGAUAAUGACGGUACCAGCAGAAGAAGCCCCGGCUAACUCCGUGCCAGCAGCCGCGGUAAUACGGAGGGGGCUAGCGUUGUUCGGAAUUACUGGGCGUAAAGCGCACGUAGGCGGAUCAGAAAGUCAGAGGUGAAAUCCCAGGGCUCAACAUUGGAACUGCCUUUGAAACUCCUGGACUUGAGGUCGAGAGAGGUGAGUGGAAUUCCGAGUGUAGAGGUGAAAUUCGUAUAUAUUCGGAGGAACACCAGUGGCGAAGGCGGCUCACUGGCUCGAUACUGACGCUGAGGUGCGAAAGCGUGGGGAGCAAACAGGAUUAGAAACCCUUGUAGUCC
RNAcentral lists this ribosomal RNA (425 nucleotides) under uncultured bacterium. Its description in RNAcentral is "partial 16S ribosomal RNA". It matches the Rfam family "Bacterial small subunit ribosomal RNA", at positions 354 to 796 of the family's 1533-position model. The record is from RNAcentral.